RNAcentral lists this ribosomal RNA (253 nucleotides) under uncultured bacterium. Its description in RNAcentral is "partial 16S ribosomal RNA". It matches the Rfam family "Bacterial small subunit ribosomal RNA", at positions 524 to 776 of the family's 1533-position model. The record is from RNAcentral.
UACGAAGGGGGCUAGCGUUGCUCGGAAUUACUGGGCGUAAAGGGCGCGUAGGCGGACAGUUUAGUCAGAGGUGAAAGCCCAGGGCUCAACCUUGGAAUUGCCUUUGAUACUGGCUGUCUUGAGUUCGGGAGAGGUGAGUGGAAUGCCGAGUGUAGAGGUGAAAUUCGUAGAUAUUCGGCGGAACACCAGUGGCGAAGGCGACUCACUGGCCCGAUACUGACGCUGAGGCGCGAAAGCGUGGGGAGCAAACGGG